This is a non-coding RNA of Oryza punctata, 204 nucleotides long. NCBI's taxonomy places the organism in Eukaryota, Viridiplantae, Streptophyta, Magnoliopsida, Poales, Poaceae. The record is from Rfam.
ACUCCGUCCCAAUUUAAACACGUAUCUAACUUAAACAUCCGUCCUAUUUAAAAAAAUUUUAUGAUUAGUAUUUUUAUUAUUAUUAGAUGAUAAAACAUGAAUAUUAUUUUAUGCGUAACUUAUAUUUUUCUACUUGUUUUCAAAAACUUUUUAAAUAAAACUAACCAUUAAAGUUGGAUACGGAAACUCGUAGUUACGCUUAAA